UACGUAGGGUGCGAGCGUUAAUCGGAAUUACGUGGGACGUAAAGCGUGCGCAGGUCGGUUUUGUAAGACAGGCGUAGAAACGUCCCCGGGCUCAACCUGGGAAUGGCGUUGGAGACUGCAAGGCUUGAAUCUGGCAGAGGGGGGUAGAAUUCCACGUGUAGCAGUGAAAUGCGUAGAGAUGUGGAGGAACACCGAUGGCGAAGGCAGCCCCCUGGGUCAAGAUUGACGCUCAUGC
This 235-nucleotide ribosomal RNA is filed under the name uncultured bacterium. RNAcentral's name for it is "partial 16S ribosomal RNA". It matches the Rfam family "Bacterial small subunit ribosomal RNA", at positions 524 to 752 of the family's 1533-position model. The record is from RNAcentral.